GUGUGUGUGUGUGUGUGUGUGUGUGUGAGUGUGAGUAUGUGUGUGUGAGUGUACAUGUGUUAUAUUGUCUGUGCAGAUUGUUAGACUGUCCCAUCUUGCCAGGUCAUGGGUGCGUCCACCAUUCCACACACACUCACACACACACACACUCACUCACACACACUACCGCGUACUGUAGGUACCAUACUUGUGUCCACCGGUAUUGUGGUUCCUGAAUGGCUUGUUUGUGAACACGUGACUAUACAGUGGGCAUUACUUCAAAUUGUGUGUGUGCCUGCGUGCAUGUGUGUGUGUGGUGUGUGUACAGUGGGCAUUACUUCAAAUUGUGUGUGUGCCUGCGUGCAUGUGUGUG
Long non-coding RNA from Alosa sapidissima (American shad), 352 nucleotides. RefSeq lists it as uncharacterized. The transcript is spliced from 3 exons. The record is from RefSeq and is a predicted model, not a curated record. Lineage: Eukaryota; Metazoa; Chordata; Actinopteri; Clupeiformes; Clupeidae.